UGAGGCGUGGUCGAUCGGUAAGGCACCCGGUUGUUACCCGGGCUCAUGCAGGUUCGAAUCCUGCCGCCUCAGCCA
RNAcentral lists this transfer RNA (75 nucleotides) under Acidobacteriota bacterium. RNAcentral describes it as "Acidobacteria bacterium tRNA-Asn". It matches the Rfam family "tRNA". From Rfam's summary of the family: Transfer RNA (tRNA) molecules are approximately 80 nucleotides in length. Lineage: Bacteria; Pseudomonadati; Acidobacteriota. The record is from RNAcentral. RNAcentral also lists the same sequence under 1 other name.